ACAUAUCAAUAAGCGGAGGAAAAGAAACCAACAGGGAUUGCCCCAGUAACGGCGAGUGAAGCGGCAACAGCUCAAAUUUGAAAUCUGGCCCCAGGCCCGAGUUGUAAUUUGCAGAGGAUGCUUUUGGCGCGGUGCCUUCCGAGUUCCCUGGAACGGGACGCCAUAGAGGGUGAGAGCCCCGUACGGUUGGACACCAAGCCUUUGUAAAGCUCCUUCGACGAGUCGAGUAGUUUGGGAAUGCUGCUCUAAAUGGGAGGUACAUUUCUUCUAAAGCUAAAUAUUGGCCAGAGACCGAUAGCGCACAAGUAGAGUGAUCGAAAGAUGAAAAGCACUUUGAAAAGAGGGUUAAACAGCACGUGAAAUUGUUAAAAGGGAAGCGCUUGUGACCAGACUUGCGUCCGGUGAAUCACCCAGCUCUCGCGGCUGGGGCACUUCGCCGGCACAGGCCAGCAUCAGCUUGCCGUCGGGGACAAAAGCUUCAGGAACGUGGCUCCUCUCGGGGAGUGUUAUAGCCUGUUGCAUAAUACCCUUCGGCGGGCUGAGGUACGCGCUCCGCAAGGAUGCUGGCGUAAUGGUCAUCAGCGACCCGUCUUGAAACACGGACCAAGGAGUCAACCUUAUGUGCGAGUGUUUGGGUGUUAAACCCCUACGCGUAAUGAAAGUGAACGCAGGUGAGAGCUUCGGCGCAUCAUCGACCGAUCCUGAUGUUCUCGGAUGGAUUUGAGUAAGAGCAUAUAGGGUUGGACCCGAAAGAAGGUGAACUAUGCGUGUGUAGGGUGAAGCCAGAGGAAACUCUGGUGGAGGCUCGCAGCGGUUCUGACGUGCAAAUCGAUCGUCAAACAUGCGCAUGGGGGCGAAAGACUAAUCGAACCUUCUAGUAGCUGGUUUCCGCCGA
This 895-nucleotide ribosomal RNA is filed under the name Colletotrichum godetiae. Its description in RNAcentral is "LSU rRNA". It matches the Rfam family "Eukaryotic large subunit ribosomal RNA", at positions 38 to 964 of the family's 3401-position model. Lineage: Eukaryota; Fungi; Ascomycota; Sordariomycetes; Glomerellales; Glomerellaceae. RNAcentral also lists the same sequence under 1 other name. The record is from RNAcentral.